CCUUCACGCCAAACAUCCCCUUCUCUCACCUCUCUUCUUCUUUUAACCCUAACCCUAGUAGCCGCUUAGGAUUUCUCCUCUCUCUCAUGCCAGAAAUGGCAAUGGCGCAGAGAAGAGUAGGCCCGUUCAGUCCCUGCACGUCCAUAUGAGGUAGCAUUAAGGACUACUCUCCUUUUGACCACUCAUUCUCACCAAACACAACCUAAGCUAGGAAAGAAGCACGAAAGGCUUUCAAAUCCAUUCUUACUCGUGGCUGCAUCCAAAAAAGGUUAGCUUUGAUCUCGUUAUUACUUUUCUUUAGUUUUUCUUUGUUUAGUUUAAGUGUUAGUGAUAACCUGCCUAGUUAGGUAUUGAUAAUGUGAGCUAUGCUUAGUUAAAAUGUUAUUAUGAGAAUGCUAUGCUAGUUUUAUUGUAUCUGUGAUAUGUGUAUGGUUAUGAUUGAUCAUUAGUGCCUUUGUGAUUUAGUUUAGAUGUGAUUCUGUCCUGUUAGCCUAAAGCAGUCUCUAAUAAUGGGUUGACCGAUGACUAAUCAUUUAGAUCAAUAAUGCCUGAUUAUAAGACCCGAUGGUUGAGUUCAAAUAGAUCUGUUAUGAUUUGCUUAAUUACAUAUCAAGGUCUAAUUAAUUUAACAAAGUGACACACAUUAGUUUAAGGAUUUUAGGCAUGAUUGAAACUGGAAGUGAGAAGGUUUUGAAUUAGUGUUUGAUUACUGAUUGUUGAAGAUUGAGUGGGAUUAAAGUAAUCUGUCCUAGAGGAGUCUGACGUGGAUAGGUUUUAAAGGUGAUUUGUCUUUUCAUUUUAUGAAAGGGUGAGAGGAUCAUGUGUGUGGGUGCAUAAGUUAUAAACCACUUGGCAAUGGGGAUAGCCUUUUUAAAGGCAUAUUAAGAGAAGAAGGACAAUAAAAUAACCAAGUUUCACUUGGUUCACAAUGCUUUCUUCCAAAUAAGAGGUGGCCACGGCACACCUCAUAUGCCUAUGGGGAAAAUCCUAUGAUCAUCCACACUGUGAUCUUUCUCUUCCCAUUCAUUAAAUCCAGGGAUGCUAAGAAUGGACUUAUCUUGUUUUCCCUUUUCUAAUACCUGGUACUAGUUUAAGACAAGCUUGUUGGUGUCUUUGUUCAAGAUAAUUCACUUCCUGCUUAAGCCUUUAUAGCUUUGAUGAAAAAUUAGGAUUAAAUGGUGUUUUUAAGAGGUGGUUUAAAAUUUGGGAUGUGCAUCAUGUCAUAAAGUCUGGAUGCUCGCAUAAGUUGUCUGUCUGUUUCCCUUCUUCUCUUAAAACCCAGAAAGAUUAGGGGGUGCAAAGUUUUUUUUUUGUGUGUGUUUAAGCUUGACAUAUUACAGUACUGUUGGUUUUGUCCCAUGUGCAUCCUUGUGUCCUAAGUUUAAUCAGUUUAGCAGCUUCUGUUUGGAAUUCUACUUUGAAUAUGCCAUGGUUUGUUGUACACAAAUCCUUCUGUAAUUAAGUAUGCUGCUCAGGUUAGCAUCUGGUGCAAAUUUUGAUUUUUUGCCAUACUUAUUGAAGUCUGCUUGAACUAUAGCAUAAUCACUAAUAUAGCUAGGUUAUGUUCAACGCACGUUCUUUGUAAGAAACUCAAGUAUAAGUUUGCCUUAGCUUAGGUUUGAUCAUAAUGAUGAAAAGAAAAGAAACUAGGCUUAAUGAUUAAGACAAGUUUAAAAAUUAGCCUAAGAUGAGAUAUAAAUAGGGAUAUUUAUGAGUUUUGUUAAUAAGAUGUGUAUGUAUUUGUGGUAUAUCAGCGGGUAUAUUGCGUAUAUUUACAAGUAUAUUUCCCACAUAGGUUGUAUAUCAAUAUCAAAGGGAUAGAAUUUCAUUAGGCUUCAAUACCUGGGCAAAAAAUCCAGAUUUUGUAGGUAGUUGGGCUUGGCCCACUACAAGUUUAAUAGAUAAGCCCUUGAUUCACACUAAGUCAAAAAGAGAAGAACAAAAUGGGGAUCUUCCGUGGACUUGUUAAUUUUGAAAUAAGGGGCUGCCAUGCCCAAUUCCAGGAUAUAACCAAGUACCCAUAUCAACUCUGUUAUGUAUGGUGUAUAUAUAUAUAUAUAUAUAUAUCUGUGUGUGUGUGUGGGUGUGUAUGAUAAGUUCAGUAAAUUAUUCUAACCGGGUUCUAUUUUUCUCCUUCCUCUUAUUCGAUGCAUGCCACUUGGGCCGGUCCAAACCGAACCUGCUGGGCUACAGCCCAACAGUGUCAAUUCUUUCGCAAAACAAAAUGAGCCUAAUGAAGGAGAACGGAAGCAAAUAUUCGAAGAUACGUAGAAGGUCCAACCAUGGGUAAAAAUGGUCAACUAGGGGCUUGGUACUCCCCUAGCCUAACUUACUUUUACUUAUGCAUUUAUAUUUGUGAUGUUGUAUUACAUUUGCAUAUUUGCAAAAAAACUUGUAUUAUUGGAA
Long non-coding RNA from Lycium barbarum (goji berry), 2406 nucleotides. RefSeq lists it as uncharacterized. Lineage: Eukaryota; Viridiplantae; Streptophyta; Magnoliopsida; Solanales; Solanaceae. The record is from RefSeq and is a predicted model, not a curated record. The transcript has 2 exons.